Long non-coding RNA from Xiphophorus hellerii (green swordtail), 1003 nucleotides. RefSeq lists it as uncharacterized. Lineage: Eukaryota; Metazoa; Chordata; Actinopteri; Cyprinodontiformes; Poeciliidae. The record is from RefSeq and is a predicted model, not a curated record. The transcript is spliced from 2 exons.
UAAACACAUCAUCUGACCCAGCUGCCUGUGUGUGUGUGUGUGUGUGUGUGUGUGUGUGUGUGUGUGGGUGUGUGUGUGUGUGUGUGUGUGUGUUGCUUCACUCUUCUCAGCUGAUGUCAGACUAUAUUUUAAAACAUGACUUCAUUCUGCAAAAACUCCAGGGAAAGGAGAAAGUGAAAACCCAGCAUCAUGCAGCAGGUUUUCUGGAAGCAGGUCAGCUGAGGCCUCCUCCUGCCUGGAAGGCUGGAGGCGCGGCCGGUGUCUGGCAGGCGGACAGGCGACACCACAGCAGCUUUUUGUCCAGUUUAGGGAAAGUGAAGAGGAAGAAGGCGCUGGUUCCUUUGUCACACACACAAGGCGCCCCAUGAGAGAGUGUGUCCUCAUUCAUGAAGCUCUGAUAAGUAACCAUUCCUGGUUAUGUAACAUAAACGAGUCGGAGUGUUUACAGGAACACAGUUUGCUUACAGGCAGACUUUCAGCUUCCUGGAGUCGUUUUACUUUCCUUUAAACGUUGGAGGAAGAGAAGCUGCAAAAUGUUUUCACCUGCGAGAAACUGAGGAAAAUGAAGAGAUUGAUGCUCCGGCCUCCUGCACUUCCAUUGACCAUAAGAUUGAGCAAUUUGACAUUUUGAAAAUAAAUGGAAACACGGCAACUUUGAAAAAAACUUGUUUUUUAUGUUUUAUGAUGAGGUGGCUUUCAUGGUCGUAUCAAAGUGGAUUUAUUUCCCAAUUUAAUUUUGUUUGUUUUCAAACUUUACUUAGAGUUUUCCUCCUAUUGCAUUAACAACAGUCUGGGGAAAAUAGAAACAAUAAAAAACACAGGAUAAGUUAUUUUGCAAAGCUGCAAUGGAAACACUUUAUCUGCAUCACAAGUCACAUGAUCAACAACCGGAUGUUACUACUGGUGGAAACCAUGAAGAAGAAGUCAACAGGAAGUAGUUGAAGGAUGAUGUCACUGCAUGUUUGUUAAGGCUUAUCAUGUUAAUAAACUUAUUCAGAUGUGA